UAGGCAAACCAAAUUGAACCUAAUGAACCAAUUGGUGAUUAAGAUAAGUUUGGCAAUCUUGACCAGUGGUCAUUAAUUGGGAGCUACUCGCAUAGAUUGAGUCUAUGGCGAGUUAAUGGCAUAUUCCUCUCAUCGAUCUCACUUACAUGACUAAUGUGGUGAAUCAGCUUUUGAUUCGAUUGCUCAUUGAUUCGUGCUAAACCCAUGCUGUAUAGGUUGAUCAAUGUGACUGAUUUAGG
RNAcentral lists this long non-coding RNA (239 nucleotides) under Elaeis guineensis (African oil palm). RNAcentral describes it as "long non-coding RNA (EGUI_LNC039557)". Lineage: Eukaryota; Viridiplantae; Streptophyta; Magnoliopsida; Arecales; Arecaceae. The record is from RNAcentral.